Long non-coding RNA from Triticum aestivum (bread wheat), 551 nucleotides. RefSeq lists it as uncharacterized. Lineage: Eukaryota; Viridiplantae; Streptophyta; Magnoliopsida; Poales; Poaceae. The record is from RefSeq and is a predicted model, not a curated record. The transcript is spliced from 2 exons.
CUCGCCGCCGUCGGCUACGAGCUCCGUCGUUGACAACCCGCCCCGGAUCCGGCCUCGGAUCUCCCUAUUUCGGCCGGUCCCCGCCAGGGCUGCCUCGCCGGAGCCCCUCCCCAAGCAGCGCCGCCGUCCCUGCCUCCUGCUCGUGCGCGACGAGGGGAUCUGGCAAGCCAGAUGCUGGCAUGCGCGCGGAGGGUGCGAGCGCGGAUCUGCGGGCUGCUAGCGCGGGUGGGAGCCAUGAGGACGGAGAAAGAUGUCCCCAACGCGGUAGCUCGCUGGGAGAGGAGGGGCGGCGGGAGGAGGUGCCGGCUGACACGGAGGAGCGCCACCAUGUCCUUCUGUAAAGGGCCAUGAAAGAACCCAGACUCCUUCUGCGAGGACGACACCCCCAGUCUGGCCACUUCAAGUGAAGAAGAGGAAGAAGAGUAAGGACUAGACUAGUAUCUUGUUGUCGGCUUAUAUAUUCCCUAUGUUUGAUACUUUCUCAUUAUUACAUAUAGCUGAUAUAAUGUUGUCUCUUAAUGAUUAUCUGGUGUCGUUUACACAUUUGGUUA